AGUGAACGCUGGCGGUAGGCCUAACACAUGCAAGUCGAACGGCAGCACAGAGGAGCUUGCUCCUUGGGUGGCGAGUGGCGGACGGGUGAGGAAUACAUCGGAAUCUACUCUGUCGUGGGGGAUAACGUAGGGAAACUUACGCUAAUACCGCAUACGACCUACGGGUGAAAGCAGGGGAUCUUCGGACCUUGCGCGAUUGAAUGAGCCGAUGUCGGAUUAGCUAGUUGGCGGGGUAAAGGCCCACCAAGGCGACGAUCCGUAGCUGGUCUGAGAGGAUGAUCAGCCACACUGGAACUGAGCCACGGUCCAGACUCCUACGGGAGGCAGCAGUGGGGAAUAUUGGACAAUGGGCGCAAGCCUGAUCCAGCCAUACCGCGUGGGUGAAGAAGGCCUUCGGGUUGUAAAGCCCUUUUGUUGGGAAAGAAAUCCAUCUGGUUAAUACCCGGAUGGGAUGACGGUACCCAAAGAAUAAGCACCGGCUAACUUCGUGCCAGCAGCCGCCGUAA
This 506-nucleotide ribosomal RNA is filed under the name uncultured bacterium. RNAcentral's name for it is "partial 16S ribosomal RNA". It matches the Rfam family "Bacterial small subunit ribosomal RNA", at positions 29 to 523 of the family's 1533-position model. The record is from RNAcentral.